RNAcentral lists this ribosomal RNA (253 nucleotides) under uncultured bacterium. RNAcentral describes it as "partial 16S ribosomal RNA". It matches the Rfam family "Bacterial small subunit ribosomal RNA", at positions 524 to 776 of the family's 1533-position model. The record is from RNAcentral.
UACGUAGGGUGCAAGCGUUGUCCGGAAUUAUUGGGCGUAAAGAGCUCGUAGGCGGUCUGUCGCGUCGGCUGUGAAAUCCCGAGGCUCAACCUCGGGUCUGCAGUCGAUACGGGCAAACUUGAGUGUUGCAGGGGAGACUGGAAUUCCUGGUGUAGCGGUGAAAUGCGCAGAUAUCAGGAGGAACACCGGUGGCGAAGGCGGGUCUCUGGGCAGCAACUGACGCUGAGGAGCGAAAGCGUGGGGAGCGAACAGG